Non-coding RNA from Caenorhabditis elegans, 136 nucleotides. NCBI's taxonomy places the organism in Eukaryota, Metazoa, Nematoda, Chromadorea, Rhabditida, Rhabditidae. The record is from Ensembl.
GUUUAUUCAGGCUUAGUUUCAAUUUUAAACUGUUUGCAAUAGACUUUAAUGUAAUUGCUAGGUUUAAAAGCCAUUGACAACUAAAAUUGUUUUCUAAAUUGAACAUAACUUGUAAAUUGUCUCGUUCAAACCACCA